This 429-nucleotide ribosomal RNA is filed under the name Bacillota bacterium. Its description in RNAcentral is "Firmicutes bacterium partial 16S ribosomal RNA". It matches the Rfam family "Bacterial small subunit ribosomal RNA", at positions 355 to 776 of the family's 1533-position model. The record is from RNAcentral. Lineage: Bacteria; Bacillati; Bacillota.
UGGGGAAUCUUGCGCAAUGCGCGAAAGCGUGACGCAGCAACGCCGCGUGGGGGAAGAAGGCCUUCGGGUUGUAAACCCCUUUCAGGAGGGACGAAGGUCGGGCGGUGAAUAGCCGACCCGACUGACGGUACCUCCAGAAGAAGCCCCGGCUAACUACGUGCCAGCAGCCGCGGUAAUACGUAGGGGGCAAGCGUUGUCCGGAUUUAUUGGGCGUAAAGAGCGUGUAGGCGGCCAGGCAGGUCCGUUGUGAAAACUCGAGGCUCAACCUCGGGAUGUCGAUGGAAACCGGCUGGCUAGAGUCCGGAAGAGGAGUGUGGAAUUCCUGGUGUAGCGGUGAAAUGCGCAGAUAGCAGGAAGAACACCUAUGGCGAAGGCAGCACUCUGGGACGGUACUGACGCUGAGACGAGAAAGCGUGGGGAGCGAACAGG